UGGGGAAUAUUGGACAAUGGGGGAAACCCUGAUCCAGCAAUGCCGCGUGUGUGAAGAAGGCCUGCGGGUUGUAAAGCACUUUCGGCGGGAAAGAAAAGUCGCGCGUUAAUACCGUGCGGCCUUGACGUUACCCGCAAAAGAAGCACCGGCUAACUCCGUGCCAGCAGCCGCGGUAAUACGGAGGGUGCAAGCGUUAAUCGGAAUUACUGGGCGUAAAGCGCACGUAGGCGGGAAAUUAAGUCGGAUGUGAAAUCCCCGGGCUUAACCUGGGAACUGCAUCCGAUACUGGUUGCCUAGAGUAUGGAAGAGGGAAGCGGAAUUCCAGGUGUAGCGGUGAAAUGCGUAGAUAUCUGGAGGAACAUCAGUGGCGAAGGCGGCUUCCUGGUCCAAUACUGACGCUGAGGUGCGAAAGCGUGGGGAGCAAACAGG
RNAcentral lists this ribosomal RNA (429 nucleotides) under uncultured bacterium. RNAcentral's name for it is "bacterial SSU rRNA". It matches the Rfam family "Bacterial small subunit ribosomal RNA", at positions 355 to 776 of the family's 1533-position model. The record is from RNAcentral.